This 367-nucleotide RNase P RNA is filed under the name Candidatus Woesearchaeota archaeon. RNAcentral's name for it is "RNase P RNA component". It matches the Rfam family "Archaeal RNase P". Rfam says of the family: Ribonuclease P (RNase P) is a ubiquitous endoribonuclease, found in archaea, bacteria and eukarya as well as chloroplasts and mitochondria. Its best characterised activity is the generation of mature 5'-ends of tRNAs by cleaving the 5'-leader elements of precursor-tRNAs. The record is from RNAcentral. Lineage: Archaea; Nanobdellati; Candidatus Woesearchaeota.
GGGAGGGUGCAUUGCUAUCGGGGCACUGUUGUGCUGCUGAGGAAAGUCUGCCCACCUCCCGCGUGAUGAACGCGGGAAAGAAGUCACUGGUGAACGCAUGAGCCAGCUCGGGUAACCGAGGGCAACAUCACAGAAACGGUACCGCCUGCAGUCGAUACGGAGGAUGGCGUGAAGGCAUUGGCGACAGUGCUGAGUAAUCGGCUGACGUGACUGCGUGGCUGGAUGAAACGGAUCGUCCUCGCUGGUGCAAGCUCAUUACGGGCGCUUAGUAGAAUGCAAUGACCGCCUGUCCCUCAGGGUCACACCUGAACCUUUGAAAGAUCAGAGGUAUUGGAGGCGUACAAAAGGCAGCUUAUGCCACCCAUGC